This 510-nucleotide ribosomal RNA is filed under the name uncultured microorganism. Its description in RNAcentral is "bacterial SSU rRNA". It matches the Rfam family "Bacterial small subunit ribosomal RNA", at positions 9 to 514 of the family's 1533-position model. The record is from RNAcentral.
GAGUUUGAUCCUGGCUCAGGACGAACGCUGGCGGCGUGCCUAAUACAUGCAAGUCGAGCGAGGGUUUUCGGACCCUAGCGGCGGACGGGUGAGUAACACGUAGGCAACCUGCCUCUCAGACCGGGAUAACAUAGGGAAACUUAUGCUAAUACCGGAUAGGUUUUUGGAUUGCAUGAUCCGAAAAGAAAAGAUGGCUUUUGGCUAUCACUGGGAGAUGGGGCCUGCGGCGCAUUAGCUAGUUGGUGGGUAACGGCCUACCAAGCGACGAUGCGUAGCCGACCUGAGAGGGUGACCGGCCACACUGGGACUGAGACACGGCCAGACUCCUACGGGAGGCAGCAGUAGGGAAUUUUCCACAAUGGACGAAAGUCUGAUGGAGCAACGCCGCGUGAACGAUGAAGGUCUUCGGAUUGUAAAGUUCUGUUGUCAGGGACGAACACGUACCGUUCGAAUAGGGCGGUACCUUGACGGUACCUGACGAGAAAGCCACGGCUAACUACGUGCCAGCCG